This 372-nucleotide ribosomal RNA is filed under the name uncultured bacterium. RNAcentral describes it as "bacterial SSU rRNA". It matches the Rfam family "Bacterial small subunit ribosomal RNA", at positions 467 to 839 of the family's 1533-position model. The record is from RNAcentral.
UAAUGACGGUACCGGAAGAAUAAGCACCGGCUAACUACGUGCCAGCAGCCGCGGUAAUACGUAGGGUGCGAGCGUUUWUCGGAAUUACUGGGCGUAAAGGGUGCGCGGGCGGUUUUUUAAGUCAGGUGUGAAAUCCCCGGGCUCAACCUGGGAACUGCCUUUGAGACUGSAAGUCUAGAGUGUGGGAGAGGKRGGUGGAAUUCCRNGUGUAGCGGUGAAAUGCGUAGAUAUGUGGAAGAACACCGGUGGCGAAGGCAGCCCCCUGGGNUAACACUGACGCUGAGGCACGAAAGCGUGGGGAGCAAACAGGAUUAGAUACCCUGGUAGUCCACGCCCUAAACGAUGUCUACUAGUUGUCGGGGAUUUCUCUCC